UGGGGAAUAUUGCACAAUGGGCGAAAGCCUGAUGCAGCAACGCCGCGUGAGUGAUGAAGGCCUUCGGGUUGUAAAGCUCUGUCUUUUGGGACGAUAAUGACGGUACCAAAGGAGGAAGCCACGGCUAACUACGUGCCAGCAGCCGCGGUAAUACGUAGGUGGCAAGCGUUGUCCGGAUUUACUGGGCGUAAAGGAUGCGUAGGCGGAUUUUAAGUGAGAUGUGAAAUACCCGGGCUAACUUGGGUGCUGCAUUUCAAACUGGGAAUCUAGAGUGCGGGAGAGGAGAAUGGAAUUCCUAGUGUAGCGGUGAAAUGCGUAGAGAUUAGGAAGAACACCAGUGGCGAAGGCGAUUCUCUGGACCGUAACUGACGCUGAGGCAUGAAAGCGUGGGUAGCAAACAGGAUUAGAUACCCUGGUAGUCCACGCCGUAAACGAUGAGUACUAGGUGUAGGAGGUAUCGACCCCUUCUGUGCCGCAGUUAACACAAUCAAGUACUCCGCCUGGGAAGUACGAUCGCAAGAUU
This 523-nucleotide ribosomal RNA is filed under the name uncultured bacterium. RNAcentral's name for it is "partial 16S ribosomal RNA". It matches the Rfam family "Bacterial small subunit ribosomal RNA", at positions 355 to 895 of the family's 1533-position model. The record is from RNAcentral.